AUUUCUCCACCGCACGAUUUCACCGCCGACGAUUUCACGCGCGAAGACUUCGCUCCUCCUCCUCCACCCGCGGCCGCGAAAACAUCGCUUCCCCUCUCUCGCUCAUCCUCCUCCCCGCGUGUAUUGAAGUUGCAUCCUCACCGGAGCUCCUCCCUGCUGCUGCCGCACCGCCGCAUCCUCACCGCCAGAUCCUGCUUCUUCCCCACCGCCGCAGCCAUUCUCCUCGCUCGCUCCUCCUCCUCCCCACGUGUACUGAAGCCGCAUCCUCGCCAGAGCAGCCGCUGCUGCCGCUGCCGGAUACUGCUUCUUCCUCACCGCCACGGCCGGAUCCGACCUCGGCCCCUUCCACCGUCACCGACACCGCCGUGCACUCCACCGCUGGCCGGCACCGAGGUCGGCCCUCUUCCCCAUUUGCCACUUCAUCAUCAUCAGAUCUCCAAUGUUGACCCUAUUAUUCAUGUUAUGUCCUGUCCGAUGCUGAAUCAUGAGGGAUUCUCCAAGAGGACAGGAACCUGUCCUACAGCACCAGGCAGUCAAGUUGUAGAGAUGGUGAAAAGUAUGGAGAAGCUACAGUCAAGUUGCUUGCUGCUACAUUAUGACUAACAGGAUCAAUGGGUGCUUGCUGAUAAAAGAAUGCAUAUAAAUAACAAAUGGUCCAGCCUCCUACAACUGUCACUGUACAGCAUCAAAAAAGGAGAUUAUGAUAUCUGAAAACUUCAAUCGCGAAGUUUGAAAAAUAGAGUGCAUCAAGUUUGCCAUGGAGAUGGCAACUACCAACCCAUGGUCAUGCGGACAUCAAGAAGCGGACAACAAGAAACAUCAUAGGAGCACCUCACCAUCACAUGGCUAUGAGCAAGAGGGGUCUGCUAGAGUAAUCCACUGAACUUUGUUGAACUUGUAAUUUUCAUCUGCAUGCUCUGGUUCUCUAAUUGCUUUGAAUUACUUAUCAUCCUUCAAUAAACAAGCUGUUGUGAAUUCCCAAAACAAAGUUGGAUGCGCUAGACACCAUCUGAAGUUGGUCAAUGGCAACUCGAGAAAUUGUAUAUAUUUGGAACAUUACCUUCCUCAUUAGCUUUUUAUUUCUUCAAUUUCUUCUAGCAAAUACAGGUAUUAUGAACAACAA
Molecule: long non-coding RNA, 1123 nt
Filed under: Oryza sativa tropical japonica subgroup
Lineage: Eukaryota; Viridiplantae; Streptophyta; Magnoliopsida; Poales; Poaceae
Description: lncRNA OsAzu_06g0016790
Source: RNAcentral